AAGACUAUAGACCUGCGGAGUACCUGCGGAGGGAUCAUUACUGAGUGAGGGCCCUCUGGGUCCAACCUCCCACCCGUGUUUAUUGUACCUUGUUGCUUCGGUGGGCCCGCCGCAAGGCCGCCGGGGGCUUCCGCCCCGGGCCCGCGCCCACCGGAGACAAACUGAACUCUGUCUGAAUGUUGCAGUCUGAGUAAAAACUUAAUAAGUUAAAACUUUCAACAACGGAUCUCUAGAUCGGAA
This 240-nucleotide unclassified non-coding RNA is filed under the name soil metagenome. RNAcentral describes it as "partial contains 5.8S ribosomal RNA, internal transcribed spacer 2, and large subunit ribosomal RNA". The record is from RNAcentral.